GUCCACGCUGUAAACGAUGAGAACUAGAUGCUGGCGGGGAACCCAUCAGUAUCGAAGCUAACGCGAUAAGUUCUCCGCCUGGGAAGUACGGCCGCAAGGUUGAAACUCAAAUGAAUUGACGGGGGCCCGCACAAGCGGUGGAGCAUGUGGUUUAAUUCGAUGCAACGCGAAGAACCUUACCUACCCUUGACAUCUUGGGAAUCUGGCUUAGUAGCCGGAGUGCCGAAAGGAACCCAAAGACAGGUGCUGCAUGGCUGUCGU
This 261-nucleotide ribosomal RNA is filed under the name uncultured bacterium. RNAcentral describes it as "partial 16S ribosomal RNA". It matches the Rfam family "Bacterial small subunit ribosomal RNA", at positions 793 to 1055 of the family's 1533-position model. The record is from RNAcentral.